RNAcentral lists this ribosomal RNA (458 nucleotides) under uncultured bacterium. RNAcentral's name for it is "bacterial SSU rRNA". It matches the Rfam family "Bacterial small subunit ribosomal RNA", at positions 340 to 790 of the family's 1533-position model. The record is from RNAcentral.
UACGGAAGGCAGCAGUGGGGAAUAUUGCACAAUGGGCGCAAGCCUGAUGCAGCCAUGCCGCGUGUAUGAAAAAGGCCUUCGGGUUGUAAAGUACUUUCAGUCGUGAGGAAGGUGUUAAGGUUAAUAACCUUAGCAAUUGACGUUAGCGACAGAAGAAGCACCGGCUAACUCCGUGCCAGCAGCCGCGGUAAUACGGAGGGUGCGAGCGUUAAUCGGAAUUACUGGGCGUAAAGGGCACGCAGGCGGUUAAUUAAGUUGGAUGUGAAAUCCCCGGGCUUAACCUGGGAAUGGCAUUCAAGACUGGUUAGCUAGAGUCUUGUAGAGGGGGUAGAAUUCCAUGUGUAGCGGUGAAAUGCGUAGAGAUGUGGAGGAAUACCGGUGGCGAAGGCGGCCCCUGGACAAAGACUGACGCUCAUGUGCGAAAGCGUGGGGAGCAAACAGGGAUUUACGAUACCCGU